CUCUUCUUGAAUAUAUUUUGAUGUAUGGCCUGCCCACUGAAUACUGAAGGGCCGCGGUAUUUUGACCGUGCAAAGGUAGCAUAAUCAUUAGUCCUUUAAUUGUAGGCUGGAAUGAAUGGUUUGACGAGGUGUUAACUGUCUUUAUUUUUUUUUUGAACUUAAAUUUUAGGUUAAAAUGCCUAAAUGUUUUUUUGGGACGAGAAGACCCUAUAGAGUUUUAUAUAUUUUUAUUUUUUUUGUAUGAGAAUUUCUAAUAUAAAAAUUUAUUUUGUUGGGGUGAUGGAGAGAUUUAAUUAACUCUUUUUAUUUAUUUUAUAUUUAUUUAUAUGUAUUUGAUCCAUUUAUGUUGAUUAUAAGACUAAAUUACC
RNAcentral lists this ribosomal RNA (368 nucleotides) under Cryptocercus relictus (relict cockroach). Its description in RNAcentral is "partial 16S large subunit ribosomal RNA". The record is from RNAcentral. Lineage: Eukaryota; Metazoa; Arthropoda; Insecta; Blattodea; Cryptocercidae.